GACGAACGCUGGCGGCGUGCUUAACACAUGCAAGUCGAACGGAAAGGCCCUGCUUUUGUGGGGUGCUCGAGUGGCGAACGGGUGAGUAACACGUGAGUAACCUGCCCUUGACUUUGGGAUAACUUCAGGAAACUGGGGCUAAUACCGGAUAGGAGCUCCUGCUGCAUGGUGGGGGUUGGAAAGUUUCGGCGGUUGGGGAUGGACUCGCGGCUUAUCAGCUUGUUGGUGGGGUAGUGGCUUACCAAGGCUUUGACGGGUAGCCGGCCUGAGAGGGUGACCGGCCACAUUGGGACUGAGAUACGGCCCAGACGCCUACGGGAGGCAGCAGUGCGGAAUAUUGCACAAUGGGCGGAAGGCUGAUGCAGCAACGCCGCGUGCGGGAUGACGGCCUUCGGGUUGUAAACCGCUUUCGCCUGUGACGAAGCGUGAGUGACGGUAAUGGGUAAAGAAGCACCGGCUAACUACGUG
RNAcentral lists this ribosomal RNA (468 nucleotides) under uncultured bacterium. RNAcentral describes it as "partial 16S ribosomal RNA". It matches the Rfam family "Bacterial small subunit ribosomal RNA", at positions 28 to 507 of the family's 1533-position model. The record is from RNAcentral.